This is a non-coding RNA of Acanthosepion pharaonis, 113 nucleotides long. The record is from the annotation of a GenBank genome assembly. Lineage: Eukaryota; Metazoa; Mollusca; Cephalopoda; Sepiida; Sepiidae.
UACGGACAUAUCAUAUAGAAAUACAGAUUUCCGUACGAUCACCGAAGUUAAGCAAAGAUGAACUUGGUCAGCACCUAGAUGGGUGACCGCUUGGGAAUACUAGAAGCUGUAAG